CAUCUAGCCAAUCGGAAUGACCAGGGGACGGGAAUCAGUCCAAACCAAGUGAUCAUCCACGAGAGCCGUGCAGAGUCGCUGAGAUAAUAGGGCCUGCAGAUGCCGGAGAAUCCGAGAUAAUAAGGUCUAGAGCUGGAUGAACACAGCAGGCAAGUUGACGUUUCGGGUCUUAAAAAAAAAGACCCUUCGCUGAGACCAAGAUUUUUGCAACUGAGAUACCAGCGAUCGUUGCCAAAGCCCUGUUCCCUGUGGAGAAGGUGAUGUUUAACUUUCGUGUCAUGCUGCAGUUCGUAUGAUGAAGAUGCUCCCACAAUGUGGUCAUUUGAGAAGUUACAGAUCAGUCAUCUAGUGAUACUAAAGAGCUGAUGGUGACUGUGCGGUGGUCGCUGUUAUCAAUCCUGUCAUGGACAGAUGCCUCUGCAGCUGGGAAAUUGGUGACGAUGGGAUCAGCUAUGUUUCCCCGUUUGGUGCGUCACCACCUGCUGCCGUCCCCACCAGGCAGCUUUGUCCUUUAGGACCCGACCAGCCUGAUUGGUAAUCCUCCUGCAAACUACUCCUGAAGGAUAUUACAAGUGGACUUUCAGGUAGGAAACUCAAUAAUUGUAACACCAAACUCUGACAGAAUUACUCAAUUCAUCAGGACCUGGAUAUUCCCAUUGUGUAUUUCCACAACUUUACUUCUGCACUAUUAUUCUUCUUUGAAGGAUCGAAAGGUAGAGUUACAGAUCUAUACAAUGCCUGUCCUUCCUCCCUGGCUCUCCCACCCCUCUCUUUUGGUAGGUUUGUGCAAACAUUGACUGGAUCCUUUCCAUGGAGGAUAUCUAUGAAUUGAAUUUGUUCUAAUGAUAAUCCAGCAUAUUCCCCAAGUGUCGCUCCACGAAUGUCCAGAGAAUUUCUCAGUUUCACAGUCUGUGUGCUCGUCUGGUUUCUUACUCGCUGCACUUAGUUGCUGAUUGAAAGUAUAGUCUGCAGUUGGAGAAUUCAAGCAGCUCCACAUCCAGGUCUGACUGUCACUUUGUUUAUCACAACCCAAUUUUCUCAGGAUUUUGAACAUUGAAGGAAAAAGCAGCACUCACAUUGGGGAGAAAUACACAUUGUCUGUGUGUCAGAGUCUGUAAAGAUUCGUCUGAAAUGUCCUAACACCAGCGCAGUGACACUGGGGAGAGACUCUGGAAACAUGCAGAUUGCAGGAAGGAAUUUCUUCAUCCAUCCCAGCUAGAAACUGACCACCAGAGUCACACUGGAGAGAAAACAUUCACCCGCUCUGAUUAUGGAAUGUGAUUCACUGUCAUCAAACCUGCUUAAACACCAGGGAGUUCACACUAGAGAGAAACCAUGUACUUGCUUGGAAUGUGGGAAAGCAUUCACUCGGACACCUCAACUGCUGAUACAUCAGCGAAUCCACACUGGAGAGAGACCAUUGACCUGUUCUAUGUGGAAAAGGCUUUGCUGACUCGAAUUCCCUGCUGAUACACCAGCGACUUCACUCUGGGGAGAGACCAUUCAUGAGCUCCGAGUGUGGGAAGGGAUUCACUCUGUCAUCCAAACUGGUACCACACCAGCGAGUUCAGAGAACCACAGUUGAAGCACUUUGCUGUCACUCUCACUGUCAAAUGAACCAUGACUUUGGGCUGUUUGUACAGAUGUUACUGAUCCCUGCUCAAUUAAAGGUGCUGGUAUUGUGAAUAAAAUGUUUGUAACAGUUG
Molecule: long non-coding RNA, 1706 nt
Organism: Stegostoma tigrinum
Lineage: Eukaryota; Metazoa; Chordata; Chondrichthyes; Orectolobiformes; Stegostomatidae
Exons: 5
Source: RefSeq, a predicted model, not a curated record